RNA transcript from Arachis stenosperma, 2712 nucleotides. It is a transcript of the gene named chloride channel protein CLC-d-like, with no coding region annotated. NCBI's taxonomy places the organism in Eukaryota, Viridiplantae, Streptophyta, Magnoliopsida, Fabales, Fabaceae. The record is from RefSeq and is a predicted model, not a curated record. The transcript has 6 exons.
GCCAUCAUCUUCAUCUUCACUUUCGAAUCCUGCCUUCAUCGUUCAUCGUCAUCUUCAACGUUCAUCUUCAUUGCACCCAGCCUUCAUCGUCUUCAUCGUCAUCUGUGUAAUUAGGCAAUGAUCGUCGCACCCAUGCCCUUCCUCUAACUCUCGCACCCGACCCUCCCUCUGUCGAACCCUAUAGCUAUUUCUCAACCCUCGCACCCAACCCUCGCCCAUCAAUGCAACCCUCGUUGGCCCUCUGUCUAUCGCACAAUCAACACAUCGGCAUGGCCUCCUACUCCCUCAGCGGUCUCUCUCUCGUAAACCGUCGUUGGAUUCGGAACCCUCAAUCGUUGGCCCUCUGUCUGUCGCACCAUCAACACAUUGGCAUGGCCUCCUACUCCCUCAGUGCAGCGGUCUCUCUCUCUCGCAAACCCUCGUUUGAUUCGGAACCCUCAAUCGUUGCUGUCUCUCCCUCAAUCGGCACCGUAAGCACUGCCUGUCUAGAUUCUAUUGAAGAUGUUAAUGUGAGAAAUGAGACUUGAAAGCCUUUCGAGUAGUGCUUGGCUGGCUUAAGCGGAAGGAUUUAGCUGGCAACACUCCAUCUGAAAACUCCAUCUGAAGUCUGAUUCUUUAGAACACUCCAUCUUGAACUGGAAGGAUUCAGCUGGGAACACCAUUUUGCACAGAGCAACACUCAAUGAUAACAAUCAGUGUCACUAUAGCUAUAGUGCUUGCGGACUUUGCUCUGACGCAACAGACAAGCUUGUACACUUGGUGUAGGAGGUACAGCAUAGUACUGCCUCUAAAGCAGAAGACACAACAUUAUGUGGAGCAAAGAUCACUGGUGGAGGUUCUGGUGGACCAUUUGUGUAAUUGGUAGAAACUGUCUCGAGAGCGGUGAACAAAUUAUUGAGGGGUACUGAGGCAGCUUAAGCCCCAAGUUGAAACAAGCAUAUGUCAUUAACAAGGCAGACCAACCUCUAAACCCUGCUGAUACAAGAUGAUUAAUGGUGUUAUUUCCUUGUGUUUCAGACUCUCUAGAUAUCAAAAUUACAGACCAUCCAGCAGUUUGAAGAUUAAGGUAUAAUCUUAACAAAAGCCUGAGCUUUAAAUUCUUAGUCUCUUUGAUACAGUUGCUAAUGUUGUCAUUUUGAACCCUAUAUCAAGAGUGAAAACACCAAACUUUGAGUACCUAGUAUAUAUUAGUAACUAAUAUCAGUUGUUGUAACAAGCCACCAAUACCAGAUUGCUGUAGGCUAAGGUUGGCAAUCCGGCCGCCAUCGGGUGUUGGUCAAAGGUAAUUCAAAUAAUUGAUUCACUGCAUACAUUCCAUUUCAUUGGUGUAGCUGAAAUAUAUGCUUAUUUGAAUUGUGACUAUUUGAUGAAAAAGUAUAGGGAACCAACUUUAGGGUUUAAGAUUUAUAAAUUAGAGUGCAAGGUUACAGGUUUAUAAUUUAAGGUAUAAAGUUUAAAAUAAGUAAAAUAAUUUUAGAUAGUGCUGCUGCUGGAUCUGGUAUUCCUGAAAUCAAGGGUUACUUAAAUGGUGACUUAGACUUUUCAACUGUUUCUGGGGUUAUUGGGUUGAAAUUUUGUCCAGCUUGUGCAAAAAUCCUUCGUAUGAUGAUAGUGUGGAUGCUGAAUAAUGUUCAGGGGUUGAUAUUCAUGGGUUUCUUCUUUUGAGAACUUUGAUUGGAAAGAUAUUUGGCAGCAUUGGAUCAGUGGGAGGAGGCCUUGCUUUAGGUAAAGAGGGUCCUCUUGUCCACACUGGUGCUUGUAUUGCUUCUUUGCUUGGACAAGUAUGUACUACUCAGUAUUUGGUAGUAUCUAAAUUGUAUGUUAAAGGUACAAUAUGCGCAUAGUAUGUGUUAGAUCUUUCAGUAUGUCGUUUCAAUGCUUUGUUUCCUUAAAUAAAGAGACUAAAAUGCGGCGGCAACAUCACAUAAAGUGUCCAUUGUAUUUUAACUGACCAUUUAAAUGAACCUUGCUUUAUAAUUUAUUAACACUUGCACAUUAUAUUACCUGAAUUAUCCUCUGUGCUGCUGUGCAUUACUUUUUUAAGACUAGUUUUGUGUGAUUUUCACUGAAUAUGUAUUUUAUAGAAGAAACUAAUAAAAUCUGCUGGUGUCAUGUCUUGAGUAGGGUGGUUCCACUAAGUAUCAUAUAAAAUUCAAGAUGGUUUCAGGUAUUGAGAAGUGAUCGAGAUCGUCGAGAUUUGGUAACCUGUGGGUGUGCAGCAGGAGUUGCUGCUGCAUUUAGAGCUCCUGUUGGUGGUGUAUUGUUUGCAUUGGAAGAGGUAACAUCUUGGUGGAGGAAUCAACUUAUGUGGCGUGUCUUCUUUACUUCUGCUAUUGUUGCUGUUGUAGUGCGAACUGCAAUGGGAUGGUGUAAGAAUGGAAAUUGCGGAUAUUUUGGGUCUGGCAGAUUCAUAAUAUGGGAUAUAUAUCAGAGUAAAGAUCUGUGCUUUCACCUUUGUCACUGCCAGUUGAGCAUUAAGGUUUUAUUUUUGUCCUCUUCCCUUGACUGGUUUUAUUUUUAGUGGUCAAGAGGAUUAUUCCUUUGUAGAGAUAUUGCCAAUGGCUAUUAUUGGGGUUAUUGGAGGCCUACUAGGUUGGAGUUUUCACCUUUGUUUUGCACUUCAAUGUAUCAUGAAUUUUUUACAUUUUGUAACUAAAUAUAAGGAAAUAGAUGUGACACUUGGAAUUAUAAUUCUUAUUUUGUUCUUAUGAC